ACAAAUGAAAACGGGGCCACAGAGUGGUGU
RNAcentral lists this non-coding RNA (30 nucleotides) under Homo sapiens (human). Lineage: Eukaryota; Metazoa; Chordata; Mammalia; Primates; Hominidae. The record is from RNAcentral.